This 250-nucleotide ribosomal RNA is filed under the name uncultured bacterium. Its description in RNAcentral is "partial 16S ribosomal RNA". It matches the Rfam family "Bacterial small subunit ribosomal RNA", at positions 524 to 772 of the family's 1533-position model. The record is from RNAcentral.
UACAGAGGUCUCAAGCGUUGUUCGGAUUCAUUGGGCGUAAAGAGCUCGUAGGCGGUUCAGCAAGCCGGCUGUGAAAGUCCGAGGCUCAACCUCGGAAUUGCAGUCGAUACUGCUGUGACUCGAGUCCGGUAGAGGAGAAUGGAAUUCUCGGUGUAGCGGUGAAAUGCGCAGAUAUCGAGAGGAACACCAGUAGCGAAGGCGGUUCUCUGGGCCGGCACUGACGCUGAGGAGCGAAAGCGUGGGGAGCAAA